Molecule: ribosomal RNA, 252 nt
Filed under: uncultured bacterium
Lineage: Bacteria
Description: partial 16S ribosomal RNA
Rfam family: Bacterial small subunit ribosomal RNA
Source: RNAcentral
UACAGAGGGUGCAAGCGUUAAUCGGAACUACUGGGCGUAAAGCGCACGCAGGCGGUUGGUUAAGCCAGAUGUGAAAGCCCCGGGCUCAACCUGGGAAUUGCAUUUGAAACUGGCCAACUAGAGUACGUGAGAGGGGGGUAGAAUUCCAAGUGUAGCGGUGAAAUGCGUAGAGAUUUGGAGGAAUACCAGUGGCGAAGGCGGCCCCCUGGCACGAUACUGACGCUCAGGUGCGAAAGCGUGGGAGCAAACAGG